GAUGUCAUCACUGGCUGGCUGAGUGGGAGGAGAGCAGUGGAUGUAGUCUACCUUCAUUUCAGCAAGGCAUUUGAUACUGUCUCCAAUAACAUUCUUAUAACAAAGCUGAGGAAACGUAGGAUAGACUGGUGGACAGUGAGCGCAGAAUUUCUGACCACAUUGUCUGGGAUGCUGGAGUGACAGAUACAGCUGCUUCUUUUCUGUAAAUAAAGGCUUGAAAAGAAUUGACGAGGCUGCACGUGGAACGCUAUGUCCAAUUCUUGGCUGCCUAGUACAAGAGGGACAUGGACAUGUCAGAAAGAAUCUGAUGGACGGCUACUGUGAUGAUUAAUGGACAGGAACCCCUCUCCCCUGAGAAGGAGGUGAAAGAGAGGCCUUGUGAAGGGAAGUCUUGGGGGUGAUAUAAACAAAUAGAAGGGAGAGAAUGACUUGAGGCUUUUUUCAGUGGUACUCAGUGACAGGACAUUGCUGGAAGAAAUGUCUGUUGGUAAGGCAAGAUGGUGAGCUGCAAAGAAUUCAGGAAACUCUUGGAGUGUGUAGAGGAGAACUUCCUAGUCCAAGUAUUAGUAAAACCAACCAGAAGUUAACUGUUAAUGGACCUAGUUCUCACCAGUGCAGAAGAGCUUAUUGAAGAGGCUAAUACUGCCAGCAGUCUUGGCUGUAGUGACCACACCUUAUUUGGGUUUGUGUUCUCAAUGAAAAUGAGCUUGGCAAAGAGCAAAGAGAGGACCCUGAAUUUUAGAAAAGUGAAAUUCUAGCUGUUUAAACUAUUAGUGGAAGAGAAGAGUUUUGGUAGAAAAAAGCUGGACAUGAGCCAGCAGUGUGAACUUGCAGUCCUAUAGGCCAGCUGUAUCCUGUGCUGCAUCGAA
Gallus gallus (chicken) is the source of this 869-nucleotide long non-coding RNA. RefSeq lists it as uncharacterized. NCBI's taxonomy places the organism in Eukaryota, Metazoa, Chordata, Aves, Galliformes, Phasianidae. The transcript has 3 exons. The record is from RefSeq and is a predicted model, not a curated record.